Molecule: ribosomal RNA, 852 nt
Filed under: uncultured fungus
Lineage: Eukaryota; Fungi
Description: eukaryotic LSU rRNA
Rfam family: Eukaryotic small subunit ribosomal RNA (bases 1-241)
Source: RNAcentral
UUGCUCUUCAACGAGGAAUUCCUAGUAAGCGUGAGUCAUCAGCUCGCGUUGAUUACGUCCCUGCCCUUUGUACACACCGCCCGUCGCUACUACCGAUUGAAUGGCUUAGUGAGGUCUUGGGAUUGGCUUUGGAGAGCCGGCAACGGCACUCUAUUGCUGAGAACUUGAUCAAACUUGGUCAUUUAGAGGAAGUAAAAGUCGUAACAAGGUUUCCGUAGGUGAACCUGCGGAAGGAUCAUUAUUGAAUUUGAAAGAGGUAUUGUUGCUGGUCUUUCGGGACAUGUGCACGCCUCGCUCAUCUCCAUUCACACCUGUGCACUCUUUGUAGGUUGGUUUUGGACUUGACCUUACGGUCUCGCUUAAGCUUGCCUAUGAUUUUAUACAUACACUCAGUUUAUAGAAUGUCAUUGCGUUAAACGCAUUAUAUACAACUUUCAGCAACGGAUCUCUUGGCUCUCGCAUCGAUGAAGAACGCAGCGAAAUGCGAUAGGUAAUGUGAAUUGCAGAAUUCAGUGAAUCAUCGAAUCUUUGAACGCACCUUGCGCUCCUUGGUAUUCCGAGGAGCAUGCCUGUUUGAGUGUCAUGGAAUUCUCAACCCGUCAGUCUUGUUAUGAGGCUUUGAUGGGCUUGGAUUUGGAGGUUUAUGCUGCAUUUUUAUUAGUGCGGCUCCUCUUGAAUGUAUUAGUAGAACCUGCCGAGCAGUUCUCAGUGUGAUAAUUGUCUACGCUGUGAUUGCGAAAGCAUUAUGGGAUCUGCUUCUAACUGUCUACUUGUUUAGACAAUUUAUUUAACAUCUGACCUCAAAUCAGGUAGGACUACCCGCUGAACUUAAGCAUAUCAAUAAGCGGAGGA